UACGUAGGGCGCAAGCGUUAUCCGGAAUUAUUGGGCGUAAAGAGCUCGUAGGCGGUUUGUCGCGUCUGCCGUGAAAGUCCGGGGCUCAACUCCGGAUCUGCGGUGGGUACGGGCAGACUGGAGUACGUGCAGGGGAGACUGGAAUUCCUGGUGUAGCGGUGGAAUGCGCAGAUAUCAGGAGGAACACCGGUGGGCGAAGGCGGUUCUCUGGGCCUGUACUGACGCUGGAGGAGCG
Molecule: ribosomal RNA, 235 nt
Filed under: uncultured bacterium
Lineage: Bacteria
Description: partial 16S ribosomal RNA
Rfam family: Bacterial small subunit ribosomal RNA
Source: RNAcentral